RNAcentral lists this long non-coding RNA (3638 nucleotides) under Anolis carolinensis (green anole). RNAcentral describes it as "lncRNA (ENSACAG00000044518.1)". The record is from RNAcentral. Lineage: Eukaryota; Metazoa; Chordata; Lepidosauria; Squamata; Anolidae.
GUGUCCUUUGAAGACGUGGCUGUGUAUUUCUCAGAGGAAGAAUAGACAUUGCUGGACGAGGAGCAAAUAUUGUAUAGGGAGAUCAUGACGGAGACCUAUGAGAAUGUGGCCUUCAUGAAUGACACUGCCAACAAGCCCAAGCCCCAGACUUCAACACCUUCCAAGAGUCUAGGGGUCGGCGUGAAAGCACCUGUCAAACGUUUCAGGUUAGAACCUCUGGAUUCAGCUAAACUUGUUUCUAAGAAGCAACGCAGUAGAGACACGUUGCUAUUCAAUCAAGUCCAAGCAUAUAUAGCUGUUAACGAUUGCUUUACUGAGCUUCGCAGAAUGGCGGAAGAAGGGAACGCCUGUUAUAUGCAUUUUAAGGAAUGUAAAAAGAAGGUGGAACAAAUCGUUUUACAUGAUAUUCCAGCUCUUUAUAAUGAAAUGAAAGCAACACUCCUUGGUCACUGUCAGAUAAGUAGAAGGUUGUCCAGGAGAGGUAAAGGAGAGCAGAAGAAGCCCCCUCCAAGAGGCCUGUACUGGAGGGGACGUAAAUUGGUAAGCAAGGCGAAAAAAACUCUUGCCAAAUCCAAAAUUAACCAAAAACGUAAACAGGCUCUGUACUCAAGGAGGGCAGGCCCAACUACCUCUUCUACUAGUACAGACACACAGAGGGAAGGGCAUUCUGAACCUGCCGAGGGGGAACACCAACUCCAACACGUAGACUCCCCAUCUAAUGAGGAAGAGCACCAACUCCAACACGUAGAUUCCCCAUCUAGUGAGGAAGAGGACCAACUCCAACACAUAGACUCCCCAUCUAGUGAGGAUGAGCACCAACUCCAACACGUAGACUCCCCAUCUAGUGAGGAUGAGCACCAACUCCAACACGUAGACUCCCCAUCUAGUGAGAAUGAGCACCAACUCCAACACGUAGACUCCCCAUCUAGUGACGGGGAGUACCAACCCCAACAGGUAGACUCCCCAGGUAUUGAGGAUGAUGGGUCGCCUCGUGUGUUUCCAGAACACGUGCGCUCAUGACAUUCUACCUAUCCAAAAUUUAAUGCGUUGCGUAUUGGGGCAGCAUGCAGUUUAAAAAAUUUAGAAACCGUGAGAUCAUACGCUGAGGUUAUAAACACAUUAUACGCUGCUACCCAAGGUGUCUUAGAUGACCUGGACCAGAGAAUUGAUCCACACGAUUGUGUUCAGGUGAGAUUAGAAGCCUCAGGGCUACAAAAUCCCCUCAUAUUUUUUAAAAGAAGAUGGGAUCUCUUUAAUGCUAAGAGGUUUCUGGCCUAUGUGAGCCUUUGCUUGCAAAGCAACAUGAAAGUAUGUGCGCAUGCGGAUUUUGAGCUCGUAAUCACCAUAAUAAAACGGCCAGAAAAGUGGUGCACAUCGAAAACUGGGGUCCCUCCCUGCCAGUGAAAUAAUUCGCAGGAAGAGACAGUAAAUUGUAAUAGAACUAUAUACAGUAGAGUCUCACUUAUCCAAUAUAAACUUGCCAGCAGAACGUUGCAUAAGUGAAAAUGUUGGAUAAUAAGGAGGAAUUAAGGAAAAGCCUAUUAAACAUUGAAUUACAUUAUGAUUUUACAAAUUAAGCACCAAAACAUCAUGUUUUACAAUGAAUCGACAGAAAAAGCAGUUCAAUACACGUUAAUAUUAUGUAGAAAUUACUGUAUUUACAAAUUUAGCAUCAAAACAUCACAAUGAAUUUAAAACAUUGACUACUAAAAGGCUGACUGCGUUGGAUAAUACAGAACGUUGGAUAAGUGGAGGUUGGAUAAAUAAGACUCUGAUAUGUUUAAAGGGGAAAAUUGAAAACUAGAUGGAUAGCAGUUUCUUAUUAUGAUCAUUGUUAUUUUCAAUUAGAAUAUGCAAAAUGUUAAUAUGCUCAAUGAUGAUAUGUAUAAGUUGUAUUAAGGUGUGCAAUAUAUGAAUAUGUCUUUUUAAAUACCAUGUACUUUCCCAUCACAGAUACAGGUUCUUUAUUGUUGCAUUUUUAGAAAAAUUGUCAGUUGUAUAUUCUGAUAAUAAAAAAAAUUAAAAAGAGACAAUAUUUGAUAGAUUUACAUUAUUCUAGCUCUAACCUAUGUUUUGCUGGAGGUUUAUUUGGAUUCAGAGAUGCUGACAACGGCCUGAAAACUGCAUGCAAAAUUUGGUUGGUCUGAUCAGAAAAAGGUAGAGUCGGAAACGACUGAAUGAAUAAACAACAAUAUGUGACUGUAGGUCCCAUCAUAAAGCACAUGCAGGCAAAAAUCUGACUUUGGGAAACAGCUUCCGUUGAAAUUUUAAAGGCGUGAUUCUCAUACUAUCCUCCCUUUCGGUUCUCAUGGACACCAAAAAAGUCCAGUUUAUUCCAGUUUUGCCUGUUUUGCACCUGUUCCCUGAGCUCUUCCUGCUUAGUAAUAGAGAGUCAAUGAAAAUAUAUUAGGUAAGCAUUGCACUGUAUGCAACAAACACUCGCAAAUGUAUGUAUAUUUGAAUGAAUUUAAUUUACCUUUUAAGCAUAAGCCCAUUAAGAUGAACAAUGUACAAGACCAAAGUGUGCCUUUUGGACUUCUGUACUGCAAUAAAAGCCCGCAGCCCCCAUUUUGGGGCACGGCAGUCUUUCUUUUUAUGCUCAAGCAACCUGCUGUCACUUGCUUUGGCCAGCAAAUAAAGUUUUUCUUCAGAGAGAUUCAACUCAUGAGUCUCCUUCACUCUGUCCUCCUGGAACAGAAGGGGACUCCUGAGAAUAGGCAGAGUGCCUGCCCCUUCGAAGUCUGCUUCACAUUAUGAUUUUACAAAUUAAGCACCAAAACAUCAUGUUUUACAUGGCAGAAAAAGCAGUUCAAUACACAGUAAUGUUAUAUGGUAAUUACUGUAUUUACGAAUUUAGCACCAAAACAUUGCAACAUUUACUACAAAAACAAUGACUACUAAAAGGCAGACUGUCUUGGAUAAUACAGAACCUUGGAUAAGUGAAGCUUGGAUAAGUGAGACUCUAUUGUACUAUAUAAUAUGUGCUAUGGCAAUAACGUAAUAUAUUGUGUAUACAUGUAAUAUUGAUACAAAUAUUAUGUAAUGCAAUAUAAUACUAAUAAUAAUACAAUAUAAUAAUAUUAAUUAUAUAUUAAAUGUACUAUUCCUUAUAAUAGUACGGUCUAGUGGUAUAGUACAAUAUAGUAAUGUAUAAUGCAAUUACAGUAGAGUCUCACUUAUCCAACGUUCUGGAUUAUUCAACGCAUUUUUGUAGUCAAUGUUUUCAAUACAUCCUGAUAUUUUGGUGCUAAAUUCGUAAAUACAGUAAUUACUACAUAGCAUUCCUGCACAUUGAACUAUUUUUUCUGUCAAAUUUGUUGUAUAACAUGAUGUUUUGGUGCUUAAUUUGUAAAAUCAUAAACCUAAUUUGAUGUUUAAUAGGCUUCUCCUUAAUCCCUCCUUAUUAUCCAACAUAUUCGCUUAUCCAAUGGUCUGCCGGCCCGUUUAUGUUGGAUAAGUGAGACUCUACUGUAUUGGGCUAUGCUAAUGAUAAAAUAAUAUUGUAUGCAAAUAUAACUUGUAAGCCGCUCUGAGUCCUCUUUCGGGGUGAGAGAGGGCGGGGGUAUAAAUGAAGUAAAUAAAUAAACAAAUAAAUAAAUCCUCCACCCAAAUUGGUCUCCUCCAAUAGAAAUCCAAAA